Long non-coding RNA from Physella acuta, 244 nucleotides. RefSeq lists it as uncharacterized. The record is from RefSeq and is a predicted model, not a curated record. Lineage: Eukaryota; Metazoa; Mollusca; Gastropoda; Physidae.
UGUCUUUACAUUUUUUGUUGGAAAGAGAUUAAACCUCUAAAAAAAAUGUUCUGUUAUCGAGCUGUUGUAGUCUUAAAUUUGAUCUCAAUGGCAACAUCUGCUGAUUUGGCAAGUUGCAUUCAGAAUUAUACUGACUCGGUCAGCCCUCAUUUUGAAAGUGGUAUUCAAGUAUUUGAAAACUCGAACUCCUAUUCAAGGAUUAGCAACACAAAGAGAAGUGUGCAGACGGUCAAAUUCUCCAGAC